UAAGGUAGCAUAAUCAAUAGUUUUUUAAUUGAAAGCUGGAAUGAAGGGUUGGAUAAAAAAAUAACUGUUUCUAUUUAAUUUAAUUAGAAUUUUAUAUUUAAGUUAAAAAGCUUAAAUUUUGUUAAAAGACGAGAAGACCCUAUAGAGUUUAAUAAAUAAUUAUAUUAUUAUAUUUAGAAUUAAUUUUAUUAGUUAUAUUAUUUAUUUAAUUGGGGUGAUUAAAAAAUUUAAAUAACUUUUUUUAUAUUAUAACAUUUAUAGAUGAAUAUUUGAUCCAUGGUUAAUGAUUAAAAGAUAAAAUUACCUUAGGGAUAACAGCGUUAUUUUUUUUUAGAGUUCAAAUCGAAAGAAAAGAUUGCGACCUCGAUGUUGGGUUAAAAUAAAUUUUUGGUGUAGAAGCUAAAAUAUUAGGUCUGUUCGACCUUUAAAAUUUUACAUGAUC
This 442-nucleotide ribosomal RNA is filed under the name Chrysomela aeneicollis. RNAcentral's name for it is "partial 16S ribosomal RNA". The stretch from base 311 to 442 matches the Rfam family "Bacterial large subunit ribosomal RNA", at positions 2473 to 2605 of the family's 2925-position model. The record is from RNAcentral. Lineage: Eukaryota; Metazoa; Arthropoda; Insecta; Coleoptera; Chrysomelidae.